RNAcentral lists this ribosomal RNA (253 nucleotides) under uncultured bacterium. Its description in RNAcentral is "partial 16S ribosomal RNA". It matches the Rfam family "Bacterial small subunit ribosomal RNA", at positions 524 to 776 of the family's 1533-position model. The record is from RNAcentral.
UACAGAGGGCCCAAGCGUUGUUCGGAUUUACUGGGCGUAAAGGGCGCGUAGGCGGCCCGGUAAGUUUGAUGUGAAAGCUCGGAGCUUAACUCCGAAAUGGCAUUGAAUACUAUCUGGCUUGAGGGUCGGAGGGGAGACUGGAAUUCUCGGUGUAGCAGUGAAAUGCGUAGAUAUCGAGAGGAACACCAGUGGCGAAGGCGAGUCUCUGGACGACACCUGACACUGAGGCACGAAAGCUAGGUGAGCAAACAGG